CCAGGACGCCAGUUUUGGCGGAGCCAUCCUUGGGAUACCACCCUUGUAGUACUGGGACUCUAACCAUAGGCCAUGAAUCUGGUCUUGGGACACUGUCAGGUGGGCAGUUUGACUGGGGCGGUCGCCUCCCAAAAGGUAACGGAGGCGCUCAAAGGUUCUCUCAGUACGGUCGGAAAUCGUACGUAGAGUGUAAAGGCAAAAGAGAGCUUGAUUGCAAGACAUACAGGUCGAGCAAGGAUGAAAAUCGGACUUAGUGAUCCGGUGGUUCUGCGUGGAAGGGCCAUCGCUCAACGGAUAAAAGCUACCCUGGGGAUAACAGGCUUAUCUCCCCCAAGAGUCCACAUCGACGGGGAGGUUUGGCACCUCGAUGUCGGCUCAUCACAUCCUGGGGCUGUAGUAGGUCCCAAGGGUUGGGCUGUUCGCCCAUUAAAGUGGUACGCGAGCUGGGUUCAGAACGUCGUGAGACAGUUCGGUCCCUAUCCGUCGCAGGCGUAGGAAAUUUGAGAAGACCUGUCCUUAGUACGAGAGGACCGGGAUGGACGUACCUCUGGUGUACCAGUUGUUCUGCCAAGGGCAUGGCUGGGUAGCUAUGUACGGAAUGGAUAAGCGCUGAAAGCAUCUAAGCGCGAAGCCAACU
Molecule: ribosomal RNA, 637 nt
Filed under: Clostridioides difficile
Lineage: Bacteria; Bacillati; Bacillota; Clostridia; Peptostreptococcales; Peptostreptococcaceae
Description: partial 23S ribosomal RNA
Rfam family: Bacterial large subunit ribosomal RNA
Source: RNAcentral